This is a non-coding RNA of Aedes aegypti (yellow fever mosquito), 46 nucleotides long. The record is from Rfam. Lineage: Eukaryota; Metazoa; Arthropoda; Insecta; Diptera; Culicidae.
CAAACGGCCCUUUUCAGGGCCUCCGAACUUUUCAAACAGAGUUAUU